Molecule: RNA transcript, 3896 nt
Organism: Vitis vinifera (wine grape)
Lineage: Eukaryota; Viridiplantae; Streptophyta; Magnoliopsida; Vitales; Vitaceae
Gene name: cyclin-dependent kinase G-2
Exons: 11
Source: RefSeq, a predicted model, not a curated record
GAUUUCGCGUAACACAAAUCCACAUCUAAAGCACUCUGAGCGCUCUCGCGUCGUGGCUCUCUCUCUCUAGAAGCAGCCUCGCCGCCCUUUCUCUCUCCUCUCUCAUCGCUUUGCCGCCACGUUUUUCGAUUCGCCGAUCAAUCAACUCGUCGACUUCAUCAUCGAGAGGGCGAGAAAGUGAGAAAGUUCUUUAAUUUUCUGCUGUUUCUAUUUUCGUCUCCGUUUCGAAUCUAGGGUUUCAUUCUCGAUCUCAGAUUGCCUCUGCGGAAACCGAAGAUCGAGGUAUGAUUUUCUAGUAUUCGUCGGUUUUGAGUUUUGUGGUCUAUUCAGAUCUGUGAUUGUUUGGAUUUUAAGGUUUCGUGUUGGUUCCUUUGAAUUUGGGGAAAUUGUUGUGUUGGUUUUGUGAUUUCUAGGGUUAGGGUUUUGAAGGGAGGGGAUUUUUCGGGGGGGACUUUGAUUGGGGGAUUAGGGUUUUCUCUGGUGUUUUGCAUUAAUGGCGGCAGGAAGGCACGGGGGUUAUCGUGAUAAUGAAUUUAAGGAGCGGGAGUCUGAUUUAGAUGUGUCAAGGCGGAAUUUUGCUUAUUCUAAGGACGAGUAUGAUCGGAGUAGGAACGGUAACCGUGAGGGUCGGAUUAGGGAUUCGAGAGAGAGGAAUAGGGUUAGACAGAAGGAUAUUAAGGAGAGGGAAUCAAUAAAUGGUGGAUACCGGUCUUCUUCUAGUAGAAGUGAUUCUGGAAGUAGUGGUGGUGGUGGUGGUGUGCCUAGACGAUGUGUUUUUUCGGUUAGGACUGCUGACCGUGAGCCUGGUGAGUUGUCAAGUGAGAGUGGAUCGGAUGAUGGCAUCGAGUCGGAGUCGCAGGCUAAUAAUGAGUUUUCAAAGGUGGAGAAUGGGAUUCGGUCGCCUUUGGAUAGGAAGAGGAAGUUUUCACCUAUUGUGUGGGAUAGAGAAGAUAAAGAAUCGAAUAAUUCUUCCAAAAGUAGAAUUGCCUCAACAGCAACUGCCCUUCCUCCUCCCCCUCCACUGCCUAAGACAUACCGCCAGUCACCAAAACUUAUUCAAGAUGAGGGUAUGCGGGUUUCUCCGGCCAAAAAUAGCAAGAUUCAGCGUUCACAACUGCCACCAUCACCAAGCCUCCCUCCGGUGGCACCUUUGUCAGUUACCCUUGAUGUGUCUAGUUCUCCCAUUGAGUUGAACACUUCUUCACCUCAAGAGCAGCGGUGGAGUAAUGAAAAAGAAGCAGACCAAAUUGAAGAUGAAGAUUAUGUUCCCACUCGGAACAUAUCAUCAUCACGAUGGGCAGAUGAAGCCAAUUCCCCAGUUGAUGAGGGUGAAAUUUUGGAUGAUGAGGAAAUUCCUAAGAGGAGGAAGAAAAUGUUUCUUUCUGAGGGCUUGGAGCCCAGGGUACUCAAGAAAUCUGUGAGUCCUGAGCUUGGGGAGCUUAAGAGGGAAGGUUCUGAAGGAGCAAGGGCAAAGUCAACUGACUCUGAUGAAAGAGGCAACCGUGGUAGGUCAGGUACUAGGGAAGAUUACCCAGAUAAUAACUCAGACAGGAAUGACUAUAUGGAAAUUGAGGACUAUCAUAACAAUGAUGCUAGUGCGAGGCAGUCAGAUACAGAUUCUGAGCAUGAAAAUGUUUCUCGGGAGACUCCAGAACCUGCACUCCCACCACAAAGAAGUGUAAAUAUGCUUCAAGGAUGUAGAAGUGUUGACGAGUUUGAGAGAUUAAAUAAGAUAGAUGAAGGCACUUAUGGUGUUGUGUACAGAGCUAAAGAUAAGAAGACGGGAGAAAUCGUAGCCUUGAAGAAGGUGAAGAUGGAGAAAGAAAGAGAAGGUUUUCCUUUGACUUCACUGAGGGAAAUAAACAUACUUCUUUCCUUUCAUCACCCUUCAAUUGUUGAUGUUAAAGAAGUCGUGGUAGGGAGCAAUCUUGACAGUAUAUUUAUGGUUAUGGAAUACAUGGAGCAUGAUCUUAAGGGGCUGAUGGAGACAAUGAAGCAGCCAUUUAGUCAGAGUGAAGUUAAAUGCUUAAUGCUCCAGUUAUUGGAGGGGAUUAAGUAUCUCCAUGAUAACUGGGUUCUUCAUCGGGAUUUGAAGACAUCAAAUCUACUUUUGAAUAAUAGGGGUGAGUUGAAGAUUUGUGAUUUUGGAUUGGCUCGGCAAUACGGGAGCCCUUUGAAACCAUAUACUCAUUUGGUGGUUACUCUAUGGUACAGGGCGCCAGAACUUUUGUUGGGAGCAAAGCAAUACUCAACAGCAAUUGACAUGUGGUCGUUAGGUUGCAUAAUGGCUGAACUGUUAUCAAAGGAACCACUGUUCAAUGGGAAAACUGAACUUGAUCAGAUUGACAAGAUUUUUAGAACCCUUGGCACACCAAGUGAGACAAUUUGGCCUGGGUUUUCCAAAUUGCCUGGAGUCAAGGUUAACUUCGUCAAGCAUCAGUAUAACCUACUGCGUAAGAAAUUUCCUGCCACAUCUUUCACUGGAUCUCCGGUUCUCUCUGACUCUGGAUUUGACUUGUUGAACAAACUUUUAACUUAUGACCCUGAGAAGAGGAUUACAGCUGAAGCUGCUCUUAACCAUGAUUGGUUCCGCGAAGUUCCUCUUCCCAAAUCUAAAGAUUUCAUGCCUACUUUUCCUGCUCAGCAUGCCCAGGACAGGCGCGUGCGAAGAAUAAUGAAGAGUCCAGAUCCUUUAGAAGAGCAGCGUAGAAAGGAGUUGCAGCAAGGGGAAUUAGGAGCUGGUGGUUUGUUUGGCUAAGAGAAACUAGUGGGUGUGCAGUUGCCCCUUCAUGCUUGAGUUUUUCUCAGUACUCAUAAGUGAAAAUGUUAGAGGCAUCCCUGAUGAUUUGGGUGGAGAAAUGCAUUUUUUUCCUCCUCCCACAAAACCAGAUCCGCAGGUUAACUUUGUUCCCCAGACUUGGUCAUCAAAUAGAAAUGCAUCUGUGGCAACUGCUUGCAUCACAAGAGACGGUUGGUGUAAAGCGGAGGGGAGUUCUUUGCUUUUCAUUUGACGAAGAAAUUGACAGUAACCGUAGUACUUCGAAGUAUCAAAGCAAAAGCUAGUUGAGGAAAUUUUCUGUUGUUCAGGAAUUGCUUUGUAACUUCAGGCUCAAUUGAGGAAUAUGGCUGGAAGAAUGUGUUGCUUUGCAAAUGAAAAUUGUUAUGAAGCACCUGCAUGAUCCGGUUUAUUUAACUAUAACAUGUAGAGGGAAUUCAGGAAGAAGAAAAAAUACGAGAGAUAAAUUGCACAAGCUUUUUAUCAAAAGAGUAGUUAUGCAGGCACUCUCUGACUUGACCAGAGGCCUUCUUCCUUUGUGGGUAUGCGGUAGACAAAUCUUGGAAGCUGAGCUUUUGACAUGGAUUUUAUAGCUGGAGAGGAGGGAGGCUGUUGAUUCUGUUGCUCAGUUCAGGUUUUACGGAGCCAAUCUGCCCCAUGUUGCCUUGUGCUCCGUGACAUCCAGUGAACUCGCGUGCUGCUUGUUUUUCCAGUGUCUUUCUGUUUGUUUGUUUGGGUUUUUAUUUAUUUAUUUAUUUGAUGAUUUGAUGAUAUUGGGGGCCAUCAGGUGGGAAUACAAUCAGAUUGCCAGCCUCUCCAGCCUCUCAAGCCAUCCAAAUUCAAUUCAGACUUUUGGGAAGGUAGCAAGCGUGAGAUUAAAAUUGCCUAGUUAUUUUAUUUAGGGUUGAAGGGCCAAAAUUGUACAUGCAUACUAAUGUUGGACGUUCCUGGUUCUUAACAAAAACAUCACUUGUACAUAUUAAGUCGGGGCAUUUGUGGUACUUGCUGUUAUCCGCGUCCAAGCAGGACAGCAGCUAACUGGGAGGCGAGGCUCACAUAUUAACUCGUUAAAAUAAAAAAUGCGGAGAGGUGAAGGCGGUGCCUUUUGUUCACUUGGAAA